Molecule: long non-coding RNA, 591 nt
Organism: Haplochromis burtoni (Burton's mouthbrooder)
Lineage: Eukaryota; Metazoa; Chordata; Actinopteri; Cichliformes; Cichlidae
Exons: 4
Source: RefSeq, a predicted model, not a curated record
AAGACACUGGAGCAGCUGUCACUGAGAAUCGGGUUGUAUACGGAGGAUCUAGUCAUCGCUCUUUUCAUCGGGGGAAAAAAAAGCCAAAGCCAAAAAAGCUUCUCCCCACGUGAAAAAGAUACAGCCAGAGUACUACAGGGUGCAACCUUGGAUUGUGAUGCAGUGAGGAGAAAGAAGAGAGAAAGCAACAGACAUGAAGGGAGGAGAGAGAGAGAGAGAGGUAGGUGAUACAGGUGAGAGAGAAAAUCAACGAGCUCUCACACAGAGACAAUCAAUAAGCUCUCUUCUCAGUCUAUUUCCUAUGGGCUGGCCUCAGUAAUAGCAUUGUGCCAAAGCCGUGUGAGUGCAGCCUGGGAAUAGGUUCAGGGUGAUGUGAUAGCAAAGUAUGAAGGCAGCACUGCUGACUGGGACUCACACUAAUUGUUACCUUUGUCAUAAAAAGGGCAGAGAAAUCACUGGGAGGACUGUGGUAGAGAUUUAUGGAGGCCUACCAGCACAGAGGGGUGCAUGGAGAUGAGGAGAGAAGUAUUGUUAUCCACGGCUUGGUUUUCUUUGAUGUGAAUGCAAUAUUUUUGUGUUGGGCUUAUUAGA